Molecule: ribosomal RNA, 497 nt
Filed under: uncultured bacterium
Lineage: Bacteria
Description: partial 16S ribosomal RNA
Rfam family: Bacterial small subunit ribosomal RNA
Source: RNAcentral
GAUGAACGCUGGCGGCGUGCCUAAUACAUGCAAGUCGAGCGAACGGACGAGAAGCUUGCUUCUCUGAUGUUAGCGGCGGACGGGUGAGUAACACGUGGAUAACCUACCUAUAAGACUGGGAUAACUUCGGGAAACCGGAGCUAAUACCGGAUAAUAUUUUGAACCGCAUGGUUCAAAAGUGAAAGACGGUCUUGCUGUCACUUAUAGAUGGAUCCGCGCUGCAUUAGCUAGUUGGUAAGGUAACGGCUUACCAAGGCAACGAUGCAUAGCCGACCUGAGAGAGUGAUCGGCCACACUAGAACUGAGACACGGUCCAGACUCCUACGGGAGGCAGCAGUAGGGAAUCUUCCGCAAUGGGCGAAAGCCUGACGGAGCAACGCCGCGUGAGUGAUGAAGGUCUUCGGAUCGUAAAACUCUGUUAUUAGGGAAGAACAUAUGUGUAAGUAACUGUGCACAUCUUGACGGUACCUAAUCAGAAAGCCACGGCUAACUACGUG